This is a non-coding RNA of Peromyscus maniculatus bairdii (prairie deer mouse), 1508 nucleotides long. NCBI's taxonomy places the organism in Eukaryota, Metazoa, Chordata, Mammalia, Rodentia, Cricetidae. The record is from RefSeq and is a predicted model, not a curated record.
UUCUAAGACUAAUCCAGUAUCUAAAAUUAGACCCGGGACAACUCAUGUUGCCAUGUAUGGCAAAAUAUGACUGAAUCGGUUAACUAAUUUCCCUGUGGCAUAAAAAGAAUCCUUGGUUGGUAAACCAAGAAAUCUUAGCUUUAGGAGGACAAAAAUGGGAAAGAGAAAGGGAACCAUUUCCUGUUUAGUCGGUUGGUUUCUGAAUCUGAAAGAAUGACAGAAGGGAAGAACUAGGUCCAAAGAAAAGCUGUCAUAAAAAUCAAGGGUGACGCUGAUGAAAACUGACUGCGGCGGAUACUGCCUGGGCUGUACCCACCUGUGCAGCCCAGAGCAUCACAGAAGCUUGCCUCCAGCUGGGGGUCCCUCUAAACACCUUAACUGCUGCUAACUCUGGCUUCGUAACUGCAUGCGACGCAGGACUGCCAGUGACCUCAAGCACACCAAAAGAUUAAAGUUUACCAAAUAUAAGUGGCAAUGGUGAAAUUCUUAAUCAAAACUCUUGUUUCCUCAUGGAGAGCCCUAAGAGGUGUCACUGUGCUGGAUACUUGAAAAGAGCUCGUUAAAAAUACAUAAGAGAAAAAGGCUUCAAGCUUCACCCCACAAGAUGCCCACCUUCCUGCAAGAGAGAUGGAUCCUGAAGGAGACACGAGAGAGAGAAAAGAGCAGCAGAGUGGAAGAGAGAGCAACUUGGGACAAGGCAGGAGGAAGGAAAGAGAAGCUCCUGACUCAUGGGAGAACUGUUCCGUGCAUUAUUUCACAUCUGAGAAACCCAACCAAUAAACAUACCGCCAGUGGCAGAAUGACCACAUGACGUUGUUGCGAACCCAAGACAAGCUGAGCCUCAAGACUGGAAACUAAACAUUCACCAUUUACAUUGUCUGAGGAAGAUGGAUUGAAGCUGAUGGGCCUGGCCAAAGAAUAAUAGUGAAAUCUUGGCUAUCACACCCCCUACCAGGGUUUGUACAGUGAGCACUGGGUAAAAAAUCCUAAUUUUAGUAUCACCCCAAGGGUCUAAUGAUCCUAGAAAACAAUCAUGGGGCCAGGGUAUGGCCCAACGGUAGACAGCUGCUUAAGAGAACAGCCCUAAGGUAAUAUUAAGUCUCCUUGGCUGGGAUCCUCCACAUUCCAAAAGGGCAGCUGGGCAACUUAUCAUCCUUCCCUCUCUUUAGUCCCAUCUCUGGGAUGACAAAAGAAACGGACUUGAAAUGCAGUGGGGAAGUGACUGUGCUGGAUGAGUGUCUAAUCUGAUUUCUGUAACAGACACUGCCAGGAAACAGUGCUGAGGAAAUGUGAAUUAUGUGGUCCUGGAAGAAGGCAGCUCUGGCUCCCUGUGGAGGACACCAGAACUGUCAGUCCAAAGACAACACUGCUCAAGACACCUGGAAUCACCACUGCCCCUGGGCCUCAUCGACUCUGACUCUAGAGACAGGACGGAAUCCCAUAGAAGAGGCUUCAUUACAUCAUUUGAACCAAGGUAAGAUGGAUGACAAGCUAUGGGGGUUGCAGUU